UUUUUUUUGAAAGAAACAAAGGUUAAAUGGGGGAUUAAAGUAAAAUUGAGAGACCCUUUAAACCAUUGUCAGUAUGCACAAUGCCUCUGAUUCUGCAGAGUUUUAGAAACUUGGUGGCACUUAUUAAUCCUCUUGGCCCCUUUCCACUCUAAUGGAUAGUGUACAUUCUUCUUAAAGUCCACAACAGCAGAUUUUCUUACAGUAAAUUUUGCAGAUGCAAAAUAUUCUAAUUGAUAUAUGUGCUGGAAGACUGAGUAUUGAUGGGGGAGUGGACCAGACAAGAGGUAAGAUGAAACAGAAGUGUGUUUAUAAUUGUUUGUGACUAUUUUCUAUAAUAAUUAGUACUAUUUAAUGGUGAGCUUUUAAAAGUGUAGGAUAGAGGGUACAGUGGCACUGUAUAUACUAUUUAUAGUCUCAGCUACUAGGGAGGCUGAGGCAAGAGGCUUGAGACCAGGAGCUCGAGGCUGUAAUGUGCCAUGAUGAUUGCACCUGCGAAUAGCCACUGCACUCCAGCCUGGGCAAUAUAGCAAGACCCCAUCUCUUUAAAAAAUUUUAGAACUUUUUUAAAAUCAAAGUGCAGAUUGCUUGUAUGUAAAACCCAAAUAGAGUAAGUGUGAUAUAUGGGAGUAUUAAAAUAGCUUAAAAUUUCUAGUGAAGGACAUGUGGCUAAAGGGUCAAAAAGGAUGUAAGACUUGGAGCCAGAGCAUAGUAUUUCCUGAAAUAACAAGUUUAGUGCUUUAACUAUGGCUACAUGUGCUUAAGGAAUUUUGAGCCACUUAUUUUUGAAGAUGCUGAGGACAUGUAGAGUGCUUUUUUUGUAGUGAGCUAACCUUGAUCUCUAAGGACUAACUACCCAGGUCCAGGUCUUCACUAGGGAUGCUGACAGUGUUUAAGCUUUACUCCACCUCCUUACUUAGAAAUCACUUUACAAUUUAUUUCCAUUUUCCACUUUUAUAGACCAUCCUUUUGCUUAUAUGCUAGAUUUUUCUGGUGAGGGAAGGGUUGUGUUCUUCAGGGGUCUUUUGUUUUAAAAUACUCAGGAUGGGGAGAGGUUUAUUUAAGAACGAAUUAUAAUUAUGGUUUACACUGUUGGGAGUAAAGGAGCAUUUUUACACCCCUUAAGGGUGCUUAAUUCUGUUGAAACCAAAAAGAUUUAUCUACAAAUGCUAUCUUUUUUAGAAACUAUUAGAAAUGACUCCCUUUCAAAGUCAAUCUUUGGAAAAUACUGAGGAGGUCACUAAUUAGUUGGUGCAGUUAAUAUAAUUCAAGAUGAUUUGGAUGAUGGGAAGUUUGAGACCGCUGCAUUUUGUUUUUAAAUUAUGCACCUUCUGAUAACCCCCAAAUACAGAAAUGUUCUACAUCUCUGAAUGACCUCUGACUUUAAAAAAGUUUUUAUUUGCAUGGCUGUAUUUACAUUAACACUGACAUUUUCUUCUACUCUUCUCCCUUCUUUCACCUUGGGGUUGGGUAGAGAAACACAAAGAAAACUGAAGCAUGUGCCAUUCUAUACUGUCAUUCCAAAUUCUCAUGGACUAUUGCCUGUUGUGAAAAUAUUUGAAACUGCACUGAAAGCUGCAUCUGUAUCUUUCUUUUGUAAAUGACCUCACAUGUAAAUUCACCAAAUAAAUAUUACAUUCAA
Long non-coding RNA from Pongo abelii (Sumatran orangutan), 1639 nucleotides. Lineage: Eukaryota; Metazoa; Chordata; Mammalia; Primates; Hominidae. The record is from Ensembl.